CCUACGGGGGGCUGCAGUGGGGAAUAUUGGACAAUGGGGGCAACCCUGAUCCAACCAUGCCGCGUGUGUGAAGAAGGCCCUCGGGUUGUAAAGCACUUUCAGUGAGGAAGAACGCCUGGUGGUUAAUACCCAUCAGGAAAGACAUCACUCACAGAAGAAGCACCGGCUAACUCCGUGCCAGCAGCCGCGGUAAUACGGAGGGUGCGAGCGUUAAUCGGAAUUACUGGGCGUAAAGCGCGCGUAGGUGGCUUGAUAAGCCGGUUGUGAAAGCCCCGGGCUCAACCUGGGAACGGCAUCCGGAACUGUCAAGCUAGAGUGCAGGAGAGGAAGGUAGAAUUCCCGGUGUAGCGGUGAAAUGCGUAGAGAUCGGGAGGAAUACCAGUGGCGAAGGCGGCCUUCUGGACUGACACUGACACUGAGGUGCGAAAGCGUGGGUAGCAAACAGGAUUAGAUACCCUGGUAGUC
This 465-nucleotide ribosomal RNA is filed under the name Vreelandella stevensii. RNAcentral describes it as "partial 16S ribosomal RNA". It matches the Rfam family "Bacterial small subunit ribosomal RNA", at positions 338 to 795 of the family's 1533-position model. Lineage: Bacteria; Pseudomonadati; Pseudomonadota; Gammaproteobacteria; Oceanospirillales; Halomonadaceae. The record is from RNAcentral.